This 688-nucleotide ribosomal RNA is filed under the name uncultured delta proteobacterium. RNAcentral describes it as "bacterial SSU rRNA". It matches the Rfam family "Bacterial small subunit ribosomal RNA", at positions 1 to 666 of the family's 1533-position model. The record is from RNAcentral. Lineage: Bacteria; Deltaproteobacteria.
UAGAGUUUGAUCCUGGCUCAGAAUGAACGCUGGCGGCGUGCUUAACACAUGCAAGUCGCACGAGAAUUCUUUAGCUUGCUAAAGAUAGUAAAGUGGCGCACGGGUGAGUAACGCGUGGGUAAUUUGCCUCUAAAUCCGGGAUAACCCGUCGAAAGAUGGGCUAAUACCGGAUAAAAUCUUUAUUUCUACGGAAAAUUGAGAUCAAAGGUGGCCUCUACAUGUAAGCUACUGUUGAGAGAUAAGCCCGCGUACCAUUAGCUAGUUGGUAAGGUAAUGGCUUACCAAGGCUUCGAUGGUUAGCUGGUCUGAGAGGAUGAUCAGCCACACUGGAACUGACACACGGUCCAGACUCCUACGGGAGGCAGCAGUGAGGAAUUUUGCGCAAUGGGGGAAACCCUGACGCAGCAACGCCACGUGAGUGAUGAAGGCUUUAGAGUCGUAAAGAUCUGUCAAGUGGGAAGAAAUUGUUUAAUGCUAAUACCAUUGAAUAUUGACGGUACCACUAAAGGAAGCACCGGCUAACUCCGUGCCAGCAGCCGCGGUAAUACGGAGGGUGCAAGCGUUAUUCGGAAUUAUUGGGCGUAAAGAGCGCGUAGGCGGUUUCUUAAGUCAGAUGUGAAAGACCGGGGCUCAACCCCGGAAGUGCAUUUGAAACUAGGGAACUUGAGUAUGGGAGAGGGAAGUGGAA